UACAGAGACUGCAAGCGUUGUUCGGAUUCAUUGGGCGUAAAGGGUGCGCAGGCGGACCGUUAAGUCGGAUGUGAAAUCUCACAGCCUAACUGUGAUAGGUCAUUCGAGACUGGCGGACUAGAGGAUUGGAGAGGAGACUGGAAUAGUCGGUGUAGCAGUGAAAUGCGUAGAGAUCGACUAGAACACCGGUGGCGAAGGCAAGUCUCUGGACAAUUCCUGACGCUCAUGCACGAAAGCCAGGGGAGCAAACGGG
Molecule: ribosomal RNA, 253 nt
Filed under: uncultured bacterium
Lineage: Bacteria
Description: partial 16S ribosomal RNA
Rfam family: Bacterial small subunit ribosomal RNA
Source: RNAcentral